UGGGGAAUCUUGGACAAUGGGCGCAAGCCUGAUCCAGCCAUGCCGCGUGGAUGAUGAAGGCCUUAGGGUUGUAAAAUCCUUUCGCCGAGGACGAUAAUGACGGUACUCGGAGAAGAAGCUCCGGUUAACUUCGUGCCAGCAGCCGCGGUAAUACGAAGGGGGCUAGCGUUGUUCGGAUUUACUGGGCGUAAAGCGCGUGUAGGCGGGUCGUUAAGUUGGGGGUGAAAUCCCGAGGCUCAACCUCGGAACUGCCUUCAAAACUGGCGACCUGGACCUAAGUAGAGGCAAGUGGAAUUGCGAGUGUAGAGGUGAAAUUCGUAGAUAUUCGCAGGAACACCAGUGGCGAAGGCGACUUGCUGGACUUAUGGUGACGCUGAGACGCGAAAGCGUGGGGAGCAAACAGGAUUAGAUACCCCCGUAGUCCCUGAGCGGGCUGGCAAGGCGCAU
This 447-nucleotide ribosomal RNA is filed under the name uncultured bacterium. Its description in RNAcentral is "bacterial SSU rRNA". It matches the Rfam family "Bacterial small subunit ribosomal RNA", at positions 355 to 825 of the family's 1533-position model. The record is from RNAcentral.